RNAcentral lists this small RNA (557 nucleotides) under Pongo abelii (Sumatran orangutan). RNAcentral's name for it is "processed transcript". Lineage: Eukaryota; Metazoa; Chordata; Mammalia; Primates; Hominidae. The record is from RNAcentral.
CCUGUGCUCUUGUACCCUGGCCUGUAUUGUAGUGGUGGUGCAGACUUUCCGAGACCUGGUUUGGUUGUGUCCUCAGUGUACUGAAGCUGUGUGUCAGGCCCUGCCCGGCUGUGAAGAGAACAUUCAAGAUAGUGAGGGGAAGCAAGCACUUAUUUGGCUACUUGGUGUCCAUGGGGAAAGAAUUCCUAAUGCUCCUUAUGUGUUAGAGGACUUUGUUGAGAAUGUGAAGUCGGAAACAUUUCCAGCUGUUAAGAUGGAGCUGCUCACUGCUUUGCUGCGCCUUUUCCUCUCCCGACCUGCUGAGUGCCAGGACGUGCUAGGACGUUUGUUGUAUUACUGCAUAGGUGGGUUUUUCAGAAGGAAAUAGUAUUUGCCAUGACCCACAGUAAAAAUUCUUAAUAGCUUUCAUUGUUUGGUGAGUCACGUCUGGGACCCGAGAAGAAAAUGUGAAUGCUUCCUAGGUUUUCCUCUCUCCUUCAUUUUUUUCUCCUAUUAUGGUUGGCACAAGAGUAGGAGGAAAGUGGUUUUGUUUUUAAUGAAGUCAAUCUGUUGUCUUA